This 480-nucleotide ribosomal RNA is filed under the name uncultured bacterium. RNAcentral describes it as "bacterial SSU rRNA". It matches the Rfam family "Bacterial small subunit ribosomal RNA", at positions 34 to 507 of the family's 1533-position model. The record is from RNAcentral.
CGCUGGCGGCAUGCCUUACACAUGCAAGUCGAACGGCAGCGGACCUUCGGGUGCCGGCGAGUGGCGAAACGGGUGAGUAACUAUAUCGGAACGUACCUUUCAGUGGGGGAUAACGUAGCGAAAGUUACGCUAAUACCGCAUAUUCUGUGAGCAGGAAAGCAGGGGAUCGCAAGACCUUGCGCUGAUUGAGCGGCCGAUAUCAGAUUAGGCUAGUUGGUGAGGUAAAGGCUCACCAAGGCGACGAUCUGUAGCGGGUCUGAGAGGAUGAUCCGCCACACUGGAACUGAGACACGGUCCAGACUCCUUACGGGAGGCAGCAGUGGGGAAUUUUGGACAAUGGGCGCAAGCCUGAUCCAGCCAUGCCGCGUGAGUGAAGAAGGCCUUCGGGUUGUAAAGCUCUUUCGGCCGGGAAGAAAUCGCACGGGUUAAUACCCUGUGUGGAUGACGGUACCGGAAUAAGAAGCACCGGCUAACUACGUG